UACAGAGGGGGCAAGCGUUAUUCGGAAUUAUUGGGCGUAAAGGGCGCGUAGGCGGUAUGGCAAGUGGAAGGUGAAAUCCCUCGGCUUAACCGAGGAACUGCCCUCCAAACUGCUUUACUUGAGGCCGGGAGAGGUGAGUGGAAUUCCUGGUGUAGCGGUGAAAUGCGCAGAUAUCAGGAGGAACACCGGUGGCGAAGGCGGUUCUCUGGGCAUUACCUGACGCUGAGGAGCGAAAGUGUGGGGAGCGAACAGG
This 253-nucleotide ribosomal RNA is filed under the name uncultured bacterium. Its description in RNAcentral is "partial 16S ribosomal RNA". It matches the Rfam family "Bacterial small subunit ribosomal RNA", at positions 524 to 776 of the family's 1533-position model. The record is from RNAcentral.